This 253-nucleotide ribosomal RNA is filed under the name uncultured bacterium. Its description in RNAcentral is "partial 16S ribosomal RNA". It matches the Rfam family "Bacterial small subunit ribosomal RNA", at positions 104 to 353 of the family's 1533-position model. The record is from RNAcentral.
GGGUGAGUAACGCGUGGGUAACCUGCCUCACACAGGGGGAGUAGCAGUUGGAAACGGCUGAUAAUACCGCAUAAGCGCACUGUACCGCAUGGUACAGUGUGAAAAACUACCGGUGGUGUGAGAUGGACCCGCGUCUGAUUAGCUUGUUGGCAGGGUAACGGCCUACCAAGGCAACGAUCAGUAGCCGACCUGAGAGGGUGACCGGCCACAUUGGGACUGAGACACGGCCCAGACUCCUACGGGAGGCAGCAUG